RNAcentral lists this ribosomal RNA (149 nucleotides) under Brassica napus (rape). RNAcentral's name for it is "rRNA SSU_rRNA_eukarya". It matches the Rfam family "Eukaryotic small subunit ribosomal RNA", at positions 753 to 903 of the family's 1831-position model. The record is from RNAcentral. Lineage: Eukaryota; Viridiplantae; Streptophyta; Magnoliopsida; Brassicales; Brassicaceae.
UACUUUGAAGAAAUUAGAGUGCUCAAAGCAAGCCUACGCUCUGUAUACAUUAGCAUGGCAUAACAUCAUAGGAUUUCGAUCCUAUUGUGUUGGCCUUCGGGAUCGAAGUAAUGAUUAACAGGGACAGUCGGUGUGAUAACCCGCCCUUU